Molecule: non-coding RNA, 106 nt
Organism: Acanthosepion pharaonis
Lineage: Eukaryota; Metazoa; Mollusca; Cephalopoda; Sepiida; Sepiidae
Source: the annotation of a GenBank genome assembly
CGGGCAUAUUACGCUGAAACACCGAUUUCGUAUGAUCACCAAAGUUAAGCAACAUUGAACUUGAUCAGUACCUAGGUGGGUGACCGCUUGGGAAUAACAAAUACUG